This 497-nucleotide ribosomal RNA is filed under the name uncultured bacterium. RNAcentral describes it as "partial 16S ribosomal RNA". It matches the Rfam family "Bacterial small subunit ribosomal RNA", at positions 28 to 507 of the family's 1533-position model. The record is from RNAcentral.
GAUGAACGCUGGCGGCGUGCCUAAUACAUGCAAGUCGAGCGAACAGACGAGGAGCUUGCUCCUCUGACGUUAGCGGCGGACGGGUGAGUAACACGUGGAUAACCUACCUAUAAGACUGGGAUAACUUCUGGAAACCGGAGCUAAUACCGGAUAAUAUAUUGAACCGCAUGGUUCAAUAGUGAAAGACGGUUUUGCUGUCACUUAUAGAUGGAUCCGCGCCGCAUUAGCUAGUUGGUAAGGUAACGGCUUACCAAGGCGACGAUGCGUAGCCGACCUGAGAGAGUGAUCGGCCACACUGGAACUGAGACACGGUCCAGACUCCUACGGGAGGCAGCAGUAGGGAAUCUUCCGCAAUGGGCGAAAGCUUGACGGAGCAACGCCGCGUGAGUGAUGAAGGUAUUCGGAUCGUAAAACUCUGUUAUUAGGGAAGAACAAAUGUGUAAGUAACUAUGCACGUAUUGACGGUACCUAAUCAGAAAGCCACGGCUAACUACGUG